Long non-coding RNA from Photinus pyralis (common eastern firefly), 604 nucleotides. RefSeq lists it as uncharacterized. The transcript has 2 exons. NCBI's taxonomy places the organism in Eukaryota, Metazoa, Arthropoda, Insecta, Coleoptera, Lampyridae. The record is from RefSeq and is a predicted model, not a curated record.
AGUGACACAUUCGCUUCAAAAGUUUAGUAUCACCACACGCGAUUAAAAUGGGUAAAGUUUCGAAAGGUAUCCUUUUCUUCUUCACGGUGAGCAGAGGCCAUUCGGUCAGUGAUAAGCUGCAGCAGAUGGAAAACCAAAAGGGGGUCCCAAGGCAAAGUUCAAAUAGUGGCACAUCUGUACAUUAUAAGAAGGGUAAAUAUCCCCUAAUUCAUCAGGGCAGUACCAUAUCCAAUUCUUCAACGACGUCGCUUUGAUUAUGUACUGGAACGAUCUCCUAUAAUACUCAUUAAGUUGCUCACUUAUAUUAAGUGAUGACUCGUAAAUUAUGAUUAAUGCUAUUUUUGUAUUGUAAUGUAAUCAUCUAAAACCAAUAAUUGGUCUUCAGCAUUUAUAAUUGAUUGUAAUAGUCCAUUAUAAUUAAACUUUCUAUCCCAAAAGUGCACAAGAGCUAAGUGCCACCUUACGCAAUACUUCUCAUGAUGCCUUCAAAACUAAACCCAUCAAUUAUUAUUGAGAGAUGUUUGUAUUCUAUGCUCUUAGUAGGUGCGGAAUAAAUAUAAGUUGAUCUAGCUAUCUGUCCCUGGAAAAUAAAUAAAUAAACAAA